GACUUGACAGACCGCCUGCGUGCGCUUUACGCCCAGUAAUUCCGAUUAACGCUUGCACCCUCCGUAUUACCGCGGCUGCUGGCACGGAGUUAGCCGGUGCUUCUUCUGCGAGUAACGUCAAUCGACAAGGUUAUUAACCUUAUCGCCUUCCUCCCCGCUGAAAGUACUUUACAACCCGAAGGCCUUCUUCAUACACGCGGCAUGGCUGCAUCAGGCUUGCGCCCAUUGUGCAAUAUUCCCCACUGCUGCCUCCCGUAGGAGUCUGGACCGUGUCUCAGUUCCAGUGUGGCUGGUCAUCCUCUCAGACCAGCUAGGGAUCGUCGCCUAGGUGAGCC
Molecule: ribosomal RNA, 335 nt
Filed under: Enterobacter cancerogenus
Lineage: Bacteria; Pseudomonadati; Pseudomonadota; Gammaproteobacteria; Enterobacterales; Enterobacteriaceae
Description: partial 16S rRNA
Source: RNAcentral